This is a transfer RNA of Felis catus (domestic cat), 91 nucleotides long. It matches the Rfam family "tRNA". From Rfam's summary of the family: Transfer RNA (tRNA) molecules are approximately 80 nucleotides in length. Their secondary structure includes four short double-helical elements and three loops (D, anti-codon, and T loops). Lineage: Eukaryota; Metazoa; Chordata; Mammalia; Carnivora; Felidae. The record is from Rfam.
GCCUGGGUGGCUCAGUCAGUUGAGCGCCUGACUCUUGAUUUCGGCUCAGGUCAUGAUUCCAGGGUCAUGGGAUCGAACCCCGUGUCAGGCU